Molecule: ribosomal RNA, 493 nt
Filed under: uncultured bacterium
Lineage: Bacteria
Description: partial 16S ribosomal RNA
Rfam family: Bacterial small subunit ribosomal RNA
Source: RNAcentral
ACGAACGCUGGCGGCGUGCUUAACACAUGCAAGUCGAACGGAAAGGCCUGUCCUUCCUUGUGUUGGACGGGUACUCGAGUGGCGAACGGGUGAGUAACACGUGAGUGAUCUGCCCCCAACUUGGGUAUAAGCCUGGGAAACUGGGUCUAAUUCCCGAUAGGACUGCAGGGUGGUGCCUGUGGUGGAAAACGAUUUUCUAGUGGUUGGGGAUGAGCUCGCGGCCUAUCAGCUUGUUGGUGGGGUAAUGGCCUACCAAGGCGGCGACGGGUAGCCGGCCUGAGAGGGUGGACGGCCACAUUGGGACUGAGAUACGGCCCAGACUCCUACGGGAGGCAGCAGUGGGGAAUAUUGCACAAUGGGCGGAAGCCUGAUGCAGCGACGCCGCGUGGGGGAUGACGGCCUUCGGGUUGUAAACUCCUUUCGACCGCGAGGAAGCCGCCUGGUUGGAAGGGUGGUGACGGUAGUGGUAGAAGAAGCACCGGCUAACUACGUG